GACGAACGCUGGCGGCGUGCCUAAUACAUGCAAGUCGAACGAACCGCGACUAGGUGCUUGCACUUGGUCAAGGUGAGUGGCGAACGGGUGAGUAACACGUGGGUAACCUACCUCAUAGUGGGGGAUAACAGUCGGAAACGACUGCUAAUACCGCAUAGGACAUGGGAUCACAUGAUUCUGUGAGGAAAGGUGGCGCAAGCUAUCGCUAAGAGAUGGACCCGCGGUGCAUUAGCUAGUUGGUAGGGUAACGGCCUACCAAGGCGAUGAUGCAUAGCCGACCUGAGAGGGUGAUCGGCCACAUUGGGACUGAGACACGGCCCAAACUCCUACGGGAGGCAGCAGUAGGGAAUCUUCCGCAAUAGACGCAAGUCUGACGGAGCAACGCCGCGUGAGUGAAGAAGGUCUUCGGAUCGUAAAGCUCUGUUGUUAGAGAAGAACAGCGCAUAGAGUAACUGUUAUGCGUGUGACGGUAUCUAACCAGAAAGCCACGGCUAACUACGUG
RNAcentral lists this ribosomal RNA (502 nucleotides) under uncultured bacterium. Its description in RNAcentral is "partial 16S ribosomal RNA". It matches the Rfam family "Bacterial small subunit ribosomal RNA", at positions 28 to 507 of the family's 1533-position model. The record is from RNAcentral.